This is a long non-coding RNA of Beta vulgaris subsp. vulgaris (sugar beet), 448 nucleotides long. RefSeq lists it as uncharacterized. The transcript has 3 exons. The record is from RefSeq and is a predicted model, not a curated record. NCBI's taxonomy places the organism in Eukaryota, Viridiplantae, Streptophyta, Magnoliopsida, Caryophyllales, Amaranthaceae.
UUCUUCACUAGCCACUAUUUCCUCAAAAAGGACGAUCUUGCAAAUACCAAAGGGAAGCAAAAAGAGAAGAAGUUGCAGGUACAAGUUCUUGAUGUGCAUGGGAAUCAUAAGCAUCCGGAUGGGAGUUUUAGUACACGCGUACUUUAUUAUUUAAGUUAUUUGAAUUUUAUGUUUGACUCUACUUGACCAAUGGGGUCAAGGUUUGACUUUUGAAGAUAGGACUAGUAUGGGAUAGUCUCCGAGUUUGUAACUCAUUUACAUACUUCUUACUUCAGUUGUAUUAAAGUAUUUUCAGUUUAUUUUAAAAGACUUCCGUUGUAUUCUCUGAUUAGCCUUACGCAUUGUCAUGCGUGGCAUAACAACUCCCGCAAUUUCUCCUAGUUUAUAUAAGGAGGAGUCGUGGGGGUGUUACAAAUUUAGUAUGCACCGGGUUGGUAAUUGAUAUUAA